GCGAGGUAGGCACUGCAGCAGGACCUGCUCAGGGUCCCGGCGCCUCUGCAGUGCAAUGAGGUUCACGCGGUGCAGCCGCAGCCGUUCCCAGGCCUUCCGUGCCAGGCCCCCUACACAGGUUUUGGUGGUAUACCAGAGCCAGUACCUGGAAGUGCCGGAGUUAAGGUGUGGCCAUACCCAUGAAGGGCAGAAGGGGUGCUGAGGAAGCUAGGGGACACUGACCAGGAGAAGUGUGUGACCUGGAAACGUGCAUACAGGAGAGCUCUCAGCUCUAGACCAGCCAUAUGCACUACCUGGACAGAGAACCAUGAGUGUCUUCCUGUAUGCUGAGGCACCUCCUGCCACCCUUGGCACAGGCCUGACAACUAUACCUGCAUGGAGACUUGGCGAGGUUCUUCUGUAGCCCCAGAGGGAAAGGUGACUUUGACCCCAGGAUGACCUGAGGAGCACAGAAGUGCUCCCUCUGGUGGCAACAGGCAAGUGUUGGAUACUGGGCGUAAAACGACAAGAAACCAGGAGAAGUGGGGCACCUGGCAUCGAGCCCAGAGCCUCUGGAACACAUGGGAGGAAAGGGUCAGGGCAGAGACAAUGGGCAAGGGUGGGUGGUGUCGGGGCAGGCUGCUCCUGUCCCCUAACUCCCAAGGGCCUAGGCAGCUGUCACCUUGGGUGCCUCUUCCUCCAGGUGGGUCUCUAGGUCAGUCCAGCUGUCGUCACUCCGCGUCCUUACAACUACCUCACGGCAGCGUUGGACUUGUGGGGGGACGAACAGCAGCCAUAAGCUCACAUCCUGUCAGGCAAUGGUGGUGUGUGAGAGAAGGCCAGCCUACACUUGCCCCCUACCCAUCCUUGACACACCUGCUGGAAAGCCACCCCAUGGGGCUGCAACUCCAGAACACCACUUAGCAAGAAGUCGUGAGGUCCCAGGGAGACCAGAGCUGGUGAACUGGAAAUGAACAAGAGGACCAUCAAUCUACAGCCCGUGCCUCUAUGCAACGGGCAAGCUUCCUGUGGCCUCCCAGCUUCCAUUCUUCCUAGUACCUGUUUCUUUUUCACUGUUUCCACAAAGCUGCCAGAAGGAUCCUUACAAAAGCCAGUCCCAUUGUACCACACGAGAACUUCUGGAGGCAUCACAACCCCUGACUUCAAACUCUCCUACAGAGCUACAGUACUGAAAACAGCCUGGUAUUGGCACAAGAACAGACAGGAGGACCAAUGG
Long non-coding RNA from Arvicola amphibius (Eurasian water vole), 1216 nucleotides. RefSeq lists it as uncharacterized. The record is from RefSeq and is a predicted model, not a curated record. Lineage: Eukaryota; Metazoa; Chordata; Mammalia; Rodentia; Cricetidae. The transcript has 3 exons.